RNAcentral lists this ribosomal RNA (397 nucleotides) under uncultured bacterium. RNAcentral's name for it is "partial 16S ribosomal RNA". It matches the Rfam family "Bacterial small subunit ribosomal RNA", at positions 523 to 918 of the family's 1533-position model. The record is from RNAcentral.
AUACGUAGGGGGCGAGCGUUGUCCGGAAUGAUUGGGCGUAAAGGGCGCGUAGGCGGCGCGGUAAGUCUGGAGUGAAAGUCCUGCUUUCAAGGUGGGAAUUGCUUUGGAUACUGCCGCGCUUGAGUGCAGGAGAGGUUAUCGGAAUUCCCGGUGUAGCGGUGAAAUGCGUAGAGAUCGGGAGGAACACCAGUGGCGAAGGCGGGUAACUGGACUGCAACUGACGCUGAGGCGCGAAAGUGUGGGGAGCAAACAGGAUUAGAUACCCUGGUAGUCCACACUGUAAACGAUGAAUGCUAGGUGUAAGAGGUAUCGACCCCUUUUGUGCCGGAGUCAACACAAUAAGCAUUCCGCCUGGGGAGUACGGCCGCAAGGUUGAAACUCAAAUGAAUUGACGGGA